Andrographis paniculata is the source of this 1571-nucleotide RNA transcript. RefSeq lists it as uncharacterized. Lineage: Eukaryota; Viridiplantae; Streptophyta; Magnoliopsida; Lamiales; Acanthaceae. The record is from RefSeq and is a predicted model, not a curated record. The transcript has 9 exons.
UAAUUUCACCCUCGCCGAUUCUGGGUCGAUUCCACUCCCAACCGCCGUCGUUCUACUGAUUCAACCACCGGCAUCGCCUUCGAUUCCGCUCCCAAAAGCCGCCUAAGCCGUCAUUCUAGUAAUUCAACCACCACCACCAGCAUCGCGUUCGAUUUCGCCUUCGAUUCCACUCCCAUCGCGCUCAACUACUUAUAUUUAUUUGGGGAAUUUGUUCUAAGUUGCUUGCUGCAAAUGCAUAUACAGGUGAUCCCUUCGUCGCGGACGCUGAGACAUCGCAAGCAGCCGUUCGAAUUUUCAGUUGAGAAUAAAGAGGUGAUAAAGAGGAGGUUCUACAGGUAUGAACAUGGUGAUUAUGAUGCUCCCUCUGAAUCUUCUUCAUCUGACUCUGAAGUGGAGGUAGAGGCCACUGAUGAAACAGAAUAUGAAGAAGAAGAGGAGGAGGAGGAGGAGGGAGAUGAGGAGAAUGAAAAUGCUGUUGUAAGGCGAAAAGGAGAAACUUCUUCUUCUGGUUACGAGAGCGAGGAUAGUUCAGCAAAUGAAGUCAAUCUUGAUUCAUCAGGUAUGGCCUCAAGUGAUGAUGAUGUUGGAGCUCAAAAUGGUGCUGGAGCUUUUGCUACUGAUGAAGUCGACAAUGUGUUUGGCAAAGCACCACAUGGUCCCGAAAAAGAUGAGAGCCCCUUCGAUGUGAAAGAUUGUGUCGUAAAAUGCAAAUCAGUUUUCAAGUGCAGGCUCUGCCCUAGGAUUGUCUGCUUGUCCGAGGAGACACUAAAGGCUCAUCUAAGCUCCAAGCGACAUGCCCAGUCUGAGAAAUUGUAUAAAGAAGGGAGGCUUAAGGUUAUGCUCAACAGUGAGGGACGGAUCGAGGUUGAGAUUCAUCAUGAUAAUGAUGAUACAAAUACAGUUUCUAUGAAGAGUCCAACUAAAUCGAAGAAAAAGGGCAAAGGGCAAUGGAAACAGAGGAAGAGAUCAAAAUAGGAUACAAGGUCGGGUAAAGCGAGGCAAUCAGAGAAACGAGCGAAGAGGCAGAAGAACGAAUGAUGGUGAUGACGACGACGGCUCUUCUGCCUUCCGAUUUUUGUUUUAGGUAAAUUUUGUGCAAGACAAAAAACUAAAAUACAAUCAGACAAUCUUUGCUUUUCUCUGAUUAUGUUUUCAAUUUUGCCCGAAUCCUAAAUGAGUUAAGCCUUAUGAUACACAAAAUUUGAAAUCAUAGCAUGUUCUUAGAUUAAGGAGGCCUUCCGACUUGUUAGGGCUAGAGGGGGUCAGGGUGACCAUCGUGAUGAUGCACCCGCUCAUCUAGAUCUAAAUGAUGAUUCAGGCACACCAUCACGAGUACAUAAUUCAAUUCCCAUAGAUGCAGAAACUUCUAGUUCCGCUCCACCUUAAGCUUCAUCCACCACUAGAGCGCAGUGUUCUACCAUCAAUCAAAGUGACAGCAGGUAUGGAAUUAUUUGAAUUAAAUGGUUCUUUUUGUUUGAUUGAAAAGUAUUGUUGUAAUUUUAAUAUAAUUAUCUUUGCAUUAAUAUUUCAGCUUUUUGUGGACACCUAAGGUAACUAGUAAAUUUUGUAAA